UGUCGGUGCCGCUGGUGGGGUAACAAAUACCCCAGAGGUGCCAUGGCCAAAGCACCUGAGGUGGGCUCCAAUGCCACGUCCACACCAGCUCAUGCAGCUGGGCAAGGAGCAGCCUGCUGGGCAAGAAUAAGCACCUUCAGAGCUGGUCAGCUGCUUCUCGUGUUGUUCAGAGCAAGUCUGGAGCCUCAGCAACCAAAUUCUGCCUCAGAUUCCCUGCCCAUGACUUCUGUGAUGUGGCUAGGGCAGCAUGGACCCAGCCAGAGAGCAAGCCUCUUCACGAUACCUGGACAUCCUUCUGCUUGCCAUGUGCUACUGGCACACAAUUGGACUUGAAGCACUUUAGGACAGCUCCAAUGAGGAGAAAUCCCCACCAGAGGACUAGCUGGUAACCCUGUUUCUGCUGAAACACAAAGCGAGGGGCCUACCACAGCUCCAUCCCACCGGUACUGCUCUGCCUACCUCACCUGUGAGUCCUGAUAUGCAUUUCCUCCUGUUCUCAAAUGCAGAAGGUUCGGGAGAGUUUUCUCCAAGGCCACAGCUAUCAUCGGUCCUGUAAAUGAUUGCAGUGGCACCAGCUCCUGUCCUUGACUGUGCUUCUUUGUCAAGCGAGGCAGUGAUAGCAAUCACUCCGGUGUUUAGCAAACCCACAGAUCACUAUUGCCAAUCUUUGUAUAAACAAGAACUAAUUAAUCUUCACCACAUCUCUCUAAAGAAGGAUGCCAGCAGGAACUGAGACUGCUCUUUGAUUCAGCGAUAAUGAGUGAACAUUGCACCAACGACAUUUACAUUUUGCCAGUGGUAUGAAAAAACACAAGACUAUUCUUCUGAGUUCAGAUUUAGGCCCCCAAAUGCAUGCUGAUUUCCUGAAGUUGGAGCACUCCGAGACUGCUAUUGAUGUGAACGAACAUCUUGGCAAUUUAGCAAAAGAUGACAUCAGACAUGAAAGGUGAAAUCAAAUUUUCAUAAGUUUCUGCCACAUCUGCUUCAUUGGGAAGCUCUGGAAAUAUAUUAGGAGCACGGUUGCAGGCUUUGUGUGGAGGCAGUGUGCUGCCGCGUACCGUGUCAAACUAUUAUCUAGGCUUCC
Molecule: long non-coding RNA, 1084 nt
Organism: Oxyura jamaicensis (ruddy duck)
Lineage: Eukaryota; Metazoa; Chordata; Aves; Anseriformes; Anatidae
Exons: 3
Source: RefSeq, a predicted model, not a curated record